GCUACAGCUCUGAUUUGAUCUCUAGCCUGGGAACUUCCAUAUGCUGCACCUUCGGCCCUAAAAAAAAAAAAUACAACCAUAAAGUUAUUACAAAAUAAUGGCACAUUUCCCUGUGCUGUCUAAUAAAACUCUGUUACUUAUUUAUUUUGUACCUAGUAGUUUGUGUGUCUUAAUCCCAUACCUCUGUCUUACCCUUCCUGCCUCCCCUCUCCCCAGUGGUAACCACUGGUUUGUUCUCUAGUGGUUAUGAGUCUCUUUCUGUCAAAAACUCAUCCUUUAAUUGACAGAUAUAAUUUAGAAAAUUUUGUGAUAUAAUGCAAAUGGUUUUUUAAGCCAGCUGAAUUUUCUCGUAUUAGUUACUUAAAAAUAAUGGUGAAGGAGUUCCCAUCGUGGCUCAGCCAUUAACGAACCCGACUAGUAUCCAUGGAGAUUCGGGUUCUAUCCCUGGCCUCACUUAGUGGGUUAAGGAUCUGGCGUUGCCAUGAACUGUGGUGUAGGUCGCAGACACAGCUUGGACCUGGCAUUGCUAUGACUGUGGUAUAGCUGCAGCUAUAGCUCCGGUUGGACCCCUAGCUUGGGAACCUCUAUAUGCCGUGAGUGCAGCCCUAAAAAGACCAGAAAAAUUUUUUUGAAAUAAUGGUGAAGAUUUAAUUUAUAUAACAUGUAUGUGUUAGAGCCUUGUAGCAACUUGGCUGCUACUAAAAGGGCACAUCAGCUGCAAAGGGAUAGAAUUGGCCAAGUCAAUAUAUAUGCAGAUAAGGAUUGGGGGCUCUUUCUUAGAGUCACGGGCCCCUUCAAUCCCAACUGGUCACACACUGUUGCAUACCAUGUUCCUUGGGCAUGUGGAACAAACUACUCUGGUAGCUCCAUGGGUUGGUUUCUUGUCCAUGGUGAGCAGUGGUGCAUCUGAGUUCUGUCUUCUGAAAUAGGAGCCCUGGAGAUGGAUCACCCUCAUGGAAAUAUAGAGCAGUGGGUACCUGAUACCGUUUGUUAUGCUGGCCACCUGUGUAGACCACGGGGCAUGCCACCAAGUCCCAUACUGCUUUGGCCCUCCUUUUAGGAAGCCCUGGAAUAGAUGCUUUCAACUCCCCAACCUCAAUCCAGCAUUGAGAGAUGAAAGGAUAAUUAUUUUGAGAUAUUGCUGUAAUCCGUCCAAUGGGGGAGGAUUUCUGAGUUAGGGAAUUUCCAAAUAUCAGGUAAAGCAUCGUUUAUUCCUGACACAUGACAAUUGGAAAAAGGAGAUUCUGUGAUCAAGUAAAUUUGGAAAAUGCUUCAUUAAAAUUAAUACUUUUCUUGGGAGUUCCUGCUGUGGUGGUGCAGUGGGCUAAGAAUUUGACUAGAGGCUCAGGUCGGGUUCAGUCCCCAGCCUGGCGCAGUAGGUUAAAAGAUCUGGUGUCACAGCUGCGCCUCAGAUUCAGGCCUUGACCGGGGACCUUGCAUAUGCUGCAGGUGUGACCAUUAAAAAUAAUAAUAAAUAAAUUUUAAAAAAUUAACACAUUUCUGGGAGUUCCCAUCGUGGCACAGUGGUUAACAAAUCCGACUAGGAACCAUGAGGUUGCGGGUUCAAUCCCUGGCCUUGCUCAGUGGGUUAAGGAUCCCUCGUUGCCACGAGCUGUGGUGUAUGCCACAGACGUGGCUCAGAUCCCGCAUUGCUGUGGCUGUGGUAUAGGCCGGCGGCUACAGCUCCAAUUCAACCCCUAGCCUGGGAACCUCCAUAUGCCA
RNAcentral lists this long non-coding RNA (1722 nucleotides) under Sus scrofa (pig). Its description in RNAcentral is "lncRNA (ENSSSCG00065014824.1)". The record is from RNAcentral. Lineage: Eukaryota; Metazoa; Chordata; Mammalia; Artiodactyla; Suidae.